RNAcentral lists this ribosomal RNA (253 nucleotides) under uncultured bacterium. RNAcentral's name for it is "partial 16S ribosomal RNA". It matches the Rfam family "Bacterial small subunit ribosomal RNA", at positions 524 to 776 of the family's 1533-position model. The record is from RNAcentral.
UACGGAGGGGGCAAGCGUUAUUCGGAAUUAUUGGGCGUAAAGGGCGCGUAGGCGGCUAGAUGUGUCAAAGGUGAAAUCCCUCGGCUCAACUGAGGAACUGCCUUUGAAACUGUCUGGCUUGAGGCCGGGAGAGGGUAGCGGAAUUCCCAGUGUAGCGGUGAAAUGCGUAGAUAUUGGGAGGAACACUAGUGGCGAAGGCGGCUACCUGGACCGGUUCUGACGCUGAGGCGCGAAAGCGUGGGUAGCAAACAGG